This is a long non-coding RNA of Entelurus aequoreus (snake pipefish), 6857 nucleotides long. RefSeq lists it as uncharacterized. The transcript has 4 exons. NCBI's taxonomy places the organism in Eukaryota, Metazoa, Chordata, Actinopteri, Syngnathiformes, Syngnathidae. The record is from RefSeq and is a predicted model, not a curated record.
CACUAACAUGUUGGAACAAGGAUGAGAAGAUGGAGGAAAGACGGUAGCUGGGGGUGUCGUGCCAGCAGGCAGUCCUCGGUUGCCCGGGAAACAGAUGGUGGAUGAAGGGCGCGCAUACAAAAGAGCACAAACCUGUGGCAGCAGCUGGGGAGCGGCUCACUGACUAAUUCAUGCAGGCGCAGCCUCUCACAGCCAUAUACGUCUCUCUUGUCUUUGUUUCAGUACUUGUGCACAAUAUUUGCUUUUCCAACGUGGACUGUGCACGCAGCUGUUCUUGACACUCCCAUUUGGGCUUGCAGCAGCUCUGCAGCACACACCGUGUAGAGGCGAGCAUUUUUUUUUUUUACUGCAGAGAACAACACGGUUUGUCGUUUUGUUAGCAGCAUAGAAGUAGGAUAUCGUGUGAGGUCUGGUACAAUUCUCUCGACGUUGUGGAACGUGUGCAAUCUGGAGAUGACUGCAGGGCCAUUGAUGUGACAACAAUUAACGAUGCUGGGAGGAUCUGAAGGGGAGCCAACGCCUGCAGACAGGUCAUGUGCACAAUACAACGUAUCAUAUUGGUUGCUAUAGAGCAGGGGUCUCCAAAAGGCUACCUGAAUUUGAAAAGCUCACCAAAGGGUUAAAUAAUCUGCUUCAACUUUUAGUUUUUUUGUAACUGUUCAAUUCAGAUUUCAUGCUUCUAUUUAAUGACAAAAAAUGUGGAGCUCUGCUUUGUCUAUACAUAAAUAAAACACAAAUAUCCCAUUGAGAAUAAAGUCGGAGACCCUUGAGAUUGAUAAACAGGCUAAAUUGGGCCCAAAGUAGAAUUUUAUUUUGAGCUCCCGCCAUUACCAAACAUGUUCACUCUUUUUUAUUUAUGUGAACAUUUUCGUACUUUUUUAAAUCAAACUUGAAUUUAAUUUGAUCCAUGUUUUGUACUAACACGAAUUGGAGGGAAAUACAUUGUGUGUGUGUGUGUGUUCUUGUAUUUCUACCCUUCUUGAGACAUCAACAAGGAAAAGUACCUUCCAUAUGAGGACUGGUGAACAAUUUAGGACAUAAAUCAUGGUCCCAAUACGGAAAACCAUUGCAUCUAAUAGAGAAUGUCUCAUUUGCACCUCUGGUGGGGAGAUCUAUCAAAAUGAGGGUGGUCCCAAAAAGGAAAUAUUUUUUCAAAUGGACUGUGUGUCGGUUUUAAAAGUGUUCCCCCUCUGGUCGACAUAUGAAAUAACAAAUGUGUGUAAGAAAUUGAAAUGCGCCCCCUUUGGCAAAAAUUAAUUAAUAAUAAUAAAUAAUAAAUAAAUAUGUAUAUAGACACAUACUGUAAUAACUUGAAAUAAAUAAUGAAGAUUAAAAACCAAUUAGAAACAACAAAUUCAAAACAUUUUUUUUUACUAAAAGCUUCCUUUUUUGUAUUUGCAUAGUUUGUAUAUAUUAUUAAUGUUGUAAAUACACUUCUUUAUAUAUCUAGAAAGGGUGGUCCUCAAGAGGUAGGCAUUUUUCGGAGGUCUCAAGAAGGUAACAAAUACAAGAAUGUGUGUGGGUACCAGAUAACAAAUUUAAGAUAAUUAAAACAUCUUCCUGACACAGCAUUGGCCGGGAUUCGAACGGAGUGCAGUUAGUUAAUCACAAGCCAAGCUCUAACACUGUGCACCCCCAGAGAGAGUGUAAAUAUUUGGGUAAACUUGCCACAAUAUUUCUAUCAGUGACGUAGCAGGAAGGGGCUAGAAAUAUGUUUGUGGUAAUAUUUUAUAUAUUCAUUUAUUAAUAUUUUAUAUUCACACACAACGAUUGAUCGUGGUGCCCUAAAAAUAAAUAUUACAAGUACAUGUUUGCUUCAGUGUCUUAUACUGUGACUUAUACUGUCCAGUGUGUGCAAUAUUGUUUAGUCCAUCUUUAGUACAGCUUUGUUUUGUAUGUCUUUGUCCCGGUAUACUGACGGACACCAGGAUCUCACUUUGGCCUCCAUUGUACUCCUGUGUUGAUGGCAUCGCUUGAAUGGCCUCCUCUGUGCUUCUUCAUGGACGGAGCUGCCAUAUCUGCUGAGCUGGACCCUCAGAGGACGGAUCAACCUUUCUUGUGUUUAACUGAAAUGUGGAUUUGAGAGACCUGGUGUCACAUGACCGUAUUAUAUCCUGUCUUUCAAGCACACACUGUAUGUUCACACAGUCUUACUUACACUGGUUUGAUCAGUGCACCACUUUUUGCCUUACGAAACAGGCACUGAGGCACUUUUCUGCUAUGUGCACUGACCUCCCCCUUGUUGCCAUGGUUACUUGCUCUCUUCACCCAGGGACUUCUAAAUUCACCUACUUAGUUAUGUCAUCAGAAGCACACAUCUCGCACUUUUAAGAUUUGUCAUUAAUUUAGACUCAUCUAUCUUGAUCAUACUGUACUAGUGUGUUAUGCGCUUGCUCGUGGUGUAGUCGCUGUGUGAGGGGCAUGGAGUGUAUGCAUGUAUUCGGCGUCUUUGCGUGCUUAUGUGCAUGUGUAUUCUGAUACAACGUACAAGCUCCUUCAGCUGCCGAAUGCGCCAGACUCUGGAAAAAUUUUUUUUACAAAUUAUUAUUUGACAUUUGUUUUGGUCCAGCAACUAUGAACGACUACUACUAAUAACGCUAAAGCAGGGCUAUUCAACUGGCAGCCCGGGGGCCAAAUCUGGCCCGGGAAUGACACCAUACCUGCCCCCGAGCUCAGUUCAAAACUUGUUACACAAACACUUUUGGUAGUAAAUUCCUAGAAAGUGCCCAUGUUGUAUAGAGGAACUUGGACCACUGUAAACACAUUGACAGAUCUCUGCAUUGACACUUUAACAACUUGCGAUUUACAUAACUGAGGUGUUCCUCAAGGCAUGGCUUUAAGUCCUAUCCUUUUUGGCAGUUACAUUUUUUUCCCGGAAUAUGAUUUAUGUAAUUAAGAGUCGCUUUAGCCUGUUCAUUUCAGAUGUAGUCAGUAGUCAUUUGUUCAACUUCUUUAGGUACACUAGUGGUGUUCUUCAAGGUUCCAUUUUAGGUCCUCUUUUUUUCAUAAUUUGCACUAUUCAACUGGUAGCCCGCGAGUUCAGUUAAAAAAAACUUGUGAGAGAUUCUUAAAAAGUGCUGUCAUAGAGAUGAUCUUUGACUAGUUUUUUUUUGCCAAAGUGCCUUUAACUCUGACAAAAUAAAUAGAUCAAAAUAAAAUGUCUACUAUAGUGGAUGCUGGUUCUUAGGAACACACACAAGUGAAGGACACAGUCCGGCACCCAGGUCCUUAGCUCUCUGGAAAUGCGGUCACCAAAACAAAUUAAGUUGAAUAUCCCUGCCCUAAAUAUAAUUAAGGAUCAUCGUGAAAGAUGACACGCAUGGCACACAUAUUUUCUGGUCAUACUUUACCAGCAUCAACUGAUUCAUUAAAAAAAUCCAGCAAAUGCUAAUAAUUGUACAAAUAGAUUUGUACCCAGGUCUGGAUUAUACUAACAUUAAUUUCUGCUAACAUUCUGAUAAUCACUAACCUCUCUGAUCGCUUAUGGCUGACUAACUCACUCACUGACUAACCCUCUGCUUUAUGGCCGCAGUUGCACAAAACUGUACACUCUUCUCUGGUGAUCUUGCAACCCCUCUUCUACAAAGCGACUAUUCUUAAACACCAACAUGAGUUAUCAAGAAGGGUUUCAAGAUCUGGGGAGGACAAUCGAACGAGCCGGAAGCCAAAAAGUGACGUAUCAAGCUGGCUUGACCACAUAAAUCCACACAGAUAUUGGAGAAAAAAAACUACAGUUCUCACACACUAGAGGCUAAAUUUAGAGGAACAGAUUUGUGUCGCUUUGUGUGCACAGUGUGUUCAAGCUUUGCAGGUACUGAAUUGUUGCCAAGUGCAACAUUACUAACUAUGGCUUUGAUACUAACAGUCAAAUACUAACAUCUCUGCUAUGCAAAACUCUUCAUAUAUUGCAACCAAAGUGUUGAUCUUCUGACUAAAGCAUGGCCUGUGUUAACUUUUCCAAAAUCAUACAGAGGACUAAUCAUUGGUGCAAUGAACAAGCCACUAACAUUCUUGGAAAUAUUCCAAAUACUAACCAAAAAGUAUUCAAUGACUAACACACUAAUGAACUAACAAAUAAACUAACAUGACUAACUGGAAUCCAUAGCAUCCAGAUUUAGACGGGUUGCAUGACGCAUUGAGUGUGCUAACAAGUUUGAAUGCACUUUUGUUGAAUGUGUGUGGGUGUGCACAUACGGAAGACACUUCCAUGCUGUGCGUCGCCCGGAAGGAUAUUUUGAGUGUUCUAUUUAAGAAUAGGAUGCAAAAUGUUGUCACGUACAAUAACACAAUUAUUUGUUCCAGCUCAGAAUCAUAAAUGGCUGAAAUGUCAGACUAAAAGAGUUGUUAUCUUAAAACAACAAAAGAAGCAAUUAUAUUCUGGAAUAAAAACAUCCGCAGACGUGUGUUCUUGGAGAUCUGCAUCACUUUAGCAAUGGGCCAUCAAAGAAUAAAAAUGCAUUUUUGUCGAUAGGCAUCAUAACAAAAACAAUAACACUGAAAAAAAUGUAUAUAUGUUGAUAGUCCAACUCGAAUGACUGGUAUACAGUCAUUGUGAGUCAUUAUUUAUCAGUAGAAAAAACCUGCAUUUAGAUUAGAUAAUAAAGAGUCAUAUCUUGGAAUAUGGAAUUUGUUAUAUGAAUUUGUUUUAACUAUUAAAAUUCCGGAAUAAUGACUAGAUGCAAUGCAAGUGUAAGCCACUGUAACUAUUAUUGUUUUUAUCAAUAAUGGCUGUGAUGGUGAUAGAAACUAUAAGCGAUGAUGAUAUUAAUCAUACAUAUUGUUCCCGUUAUUGUAAUUAUUUUGUUUUGUUUUUCAAUCACAAUUGUUGAUGUUAUUAUUGUUGAUGCUAUUAUGAUUGAAGUUAGUUAAGUAUUGCAUUUGUAUGUUCAUCUUAAUUGCUUUGUACAUUUCUAAGUAAUGUAGAGUUGGGAUUGGAGUUGGCUGUUAUUAGAUGUGAUUUUUUUGUAAAAAAAAAUAAAUGGGGAAAAAAAUGUUCCGCAUUAACUCUUUGUUGCAUAUUCAUACCACAGAUGAACACAGACAUCAUUACAGUAUAUGUAUCUACUGCAAAUCUGGAUAGAAACAUUUUAAAAUUAUAUUUAAUGCUCGGAUUUUAACUGGAUUUUCUCUGCAUCAUAUUUGCAUACACAGUAUAUUUGAUUUCCUUUAAAGGGGUCAAAUUGUGAUUUUAAUCUAUAUUUAAAACACUUCCUUGUGCUGUAGAUACCAUGUAAUAGUAUCGACAGCAAAAUGUCAAAAUGUUGCAUACGGUUUGCUGUACAAAUCUAUCUUCAAGCCACUUUUUGGCUACCCUUUUAAGAGUUAUUAUAUGCAAAUGAACCCUGCCUGGCAGCCAUUUUUGUAGUUUCAGUGAUAAGCUUCCUGCUUGGUACUGAAAAAUUAGUUAUGCUAAAUAAUUAGAAUUAUAUACUACUUUUUGGCAACAGAAAUGGCAACAGCCCAGAAUUUUAACAUCCAACUGUACAUGUACAAGCCGGAAUCUAAAGAAAUUUUAAAACAAAAAAAACGCAUCUAUCGAUGGUUCGUGUUAGGUCUGUUGCCUUAUUAACCUAAUUCUGAGAGAAUGUUACUUUACGUCAGGGGUGUCAAACUCAUUUUAGAUCGGGGGCCACAUAGAGAAAAAUCUACUCCGAAGUGGGCCGGACUGGUAAAAUCAUGGCACGAUAACUUAAAAAUAAAGACAACUUCAGAUUGUUUAGUUUUUUUUUGAAAAUAGAGCAAUCACAUUCUGAAAAUGUACAAAUAAUGCUUGAUUUUUUUUUACUGUUUUUUUUUUUUUACACUUACAUGUUGCGGUUAAUAGUAUUCUACCUUUAUUUGUCGUUAUUUAUACCUUCUGAAUAAAUUAUGUGAUAAUGUUCAUUAGUUAACUCAUUGGUGUUAAUUUUCAAUCUAUCAAGAUAAAAAAAGAAAUCAAAAUCAAAUUACAGGACGUUAUUUAUGUAGUUAGCUCAUUUUCCUCGACUGGUGCACUAACGUGUUUUUUUUUUGUUUUUUUUUACAUAUGUAGCAUAAUCUACAAAGAUACAAAGAAUUGCUAUUGCAACAUCUAGUGGACACAUUUAGAACAGCAGUUUCUUUCAUUCAAAAAUUUUGGCUCAUUUUUAUACUUAGCGAACUCCUGCCGCGGGCUGUAUAAAACCUGUUCGGCCGUAUGUUUGACACCCCUGCUUUACGUAGCCUGUCUGUUUCUGUUAGUAGACAUGCAGUUUGGUAUAUAUUUAAGCUCAAAACUAGUAUUUUAGCAAAAUUAUUUAAAAAACAAACACAUAAUCAAAGUUUUGUACACAGUUCUUUCACCAAAACAAUCAUGUGUGUGAUGAUCCGCUGCCCGGUUCAAGUUUUGUUUAAAUGUAGGAUUCCCUUGUUUUUGUUUCGGCACCCCUGUUUGUGUUCCUCAUUGCCAUAUGUGCUGAUUAUGCUCACCUGCCUCUGGUUAGUGGUCGGGACACUCACCUGCUCCCGGUCACUAAUCAGAGAGCUAUUUAUUCCUGCCUUUCGCCACAUUCGGUCUGGCUGUUUUGUUUGCUUCAUGCAACAAGUUACGUUGAUUUCUUGCUCCUUGUUCCUGUGCUAGUUUUUGCCUCAGCUUCCCGUGCAAUCUGCACGCUUUUCUGUUUAUUUGUAUUCUUGCAUCAUUUAAUAAAAUAAAUAAUCUUUCUUACCUGCACCCUGCUUCCGGAGGACCAUCUGCAUCUUGGGGAAACAAUCCGCGCAUUACCAUGCAACCCAACCGUAACAAUGUGUUCUCUGAUUUAUGCUUAUUAUGUGUUUUUGUCCUGAGAAUAUAGUUGUGGUGUUCACUUGUGCUUUGUAAUAAACACUUUCUUUCUUUC